This 253-nucleotide ribosomal RNA is filed under the name uncultured bacterium. RNAcentral's name for it is "partial 16S ribosomal RNA". It matches the Rfam family "Bacterial small subunit ribosomal RNA", at positions 524 to 776 of the family's 1533-position model. The record is from RNAcentral.
GACAGAGGGUGCGAACGUUGCUCGGAAUUACUGGGCGUAAAGCGCGUGUAGGCGGGUGAUCAAGUCAGGUGUGAAAUCCCUGGGCUCAACCCAGGAACUGCACUUGAAACUGGUCGCCUUGAGUGUUGGAGAGGGAAGCGGAAUUCCUGGUGUAGAGGUGAAAUUCGUAGAUAUCAGGAGGAACACCGGUGGCGAAGGCGGCUUCCUGGACAACUACUGACGCUGAGACGCGAAAGCGUGGGGAGCAAACAGG